RNAcentral lists this ribosomal RNA (1348 nucleotides) under metagenome. Its description in RNAcentral is "bacterial LSU rRNA". It matches the Rfam family "Bacterial large subunit ribosomal RNA", at positions 1599 to 2925 of the family's 2925-position model. The record is from RNAcentral.
CCUAUGCUGCCGAGAAAAGCCUCUAGUGAGUGUCGUGGCGGCCCGUACCCCAAACCGACUCAGGUGGUCAGGUAGAGAAUACCAAGGCGAUCGGGUGAACUGUGGUUAAGGAACUCGGCAAAUUGCCCCCGUAACUUCGGGAGAAGGGGGGCCUCCGCUGGUGAUCAGACUUGCUUUGUGAGCUGGUGGGGGUCGCAGAGGCCAGGGGGAAGCGACUGUUUACUAAAAACACAGGUCCGUGCGAAGUCGUAAGACGAUGUAUACGGACUGACGCCUGCCCGGUGCUGGAACGUUAAGGGGACCGGUUAGCGCAUCUUCGGGUGUGCGAGGCUGAGAACUUAAGCGCCAGUAAACGGCGGUGGUAACUAUAACCAUCCUAAGGUAGCGAAAUUCCUUGUCGGGUAAGUUCCGACCUGCACGAAUGGCGUAACGACUUCCCCGCUGUCUCAACCGCAGACCCGGCGAAAUUGCACUACGAGUAAAGAUGCUCGUUACGCGCAGCAGGACGGAAAGACCCCGGGACCUUCACUACAGCUUGACAUUGGCGUUUGGAACGUCUUGUGUAGGAUAGGUGGGAGACUGUGAAGCUGUCACGCUAGUGGUGGUGGAGUCAUUGGUGAAAUACCACUCUGGUCGUUUUGAACGUCUAACUUCGGUCCGUGAUCCGGAUCAGGGACAGUGUCUGGUGGGUAGUUUAACUGGGGCGGUUGCCUCCUAAAGAGUAACGGAGGCGCCCAAAGGUUCCCUCAGCCUGGUUGGUAAUCAGGUGUCGAGUGUAAGUGCACAAGGGAGCUUGACUGUGAGACCGACGGGUCGAGCAGGAGCGAAAGCUGGGACUAGUGAUCCGGCGGUGGCAUGUGGAAGCGCCGUCGCUCAACGGCUAAAAGGUACCCCGGGGAUAACAGGCUGAUCUUCCCCAAGAGUCCAUAUCGACGGGAUGGUUUGGCACCUCGAUGUCGGCUCGUCGCAUCCUGGGGCUGGAGUAGGUCCCAAGGGUUGGGCUGUUCGCCCAUUAAAGCGGUACGCGAGCUGGGUUUAGAACGUCGCGAGACAGUUCGGUCCCUAUCCGCUGCGCGCGCAGGAGACUUGAAAGGAGCUGUCCCUAGUACGAGAGGACCGGGACGGACGAACCUCUGGUGUGCCAGUUGUUCCGCCAGGAGCAUGGCUGGUUGGCUACGUUCGGAAGGGAUAACCGCUGAAAGCAUCUAAGCGGGAAGCUCGCCUUGAGAUGAGGUCUCCCACCACGAGAGUGGGUAAGGCCCCCGGGAGACGACCGGGUUGAUAGGCCGGAGGUGGAAGCAUGGUAACGUGUGGAGCUGACCGGUACUAAUAGGCCGAGGACUUGACC